Molecule: long non-coding RNA, 786 nt
Organism: Lolium perenne
Lineage: Eukaryota; Viridiplantae; Streptophyta; Magnoliopsida; Poales; Poaceae
Source: RefSeq, a predicted model, not a curated record
AACCCUGGAGCAUGCCCAACCGGCGAAUCCGACCCCCUCCUCCGCCGCCUCCUCCCCAUCUCACUCAUGCCCCACCUCCUCUCCCUCCGUGGACACAAGGGCUGGAAGAUCUAAAAUUUGGGGGAAGUAAGAGAUCUUGCAAGAAACAGGAACCACCAAGAAUUGUCCUAGAGCCAGGUGGAAUCACAAGAUGAAGUCUUAUCUUAUUGAGCUCUUAAAAGAACAUGAUACUCCAAGAUAUCAAACACAAAAUGCAUGGAGCAAAGAGGAUUGGAAAAGUAUCGUGUAUGCAUUCAAUUUGAAAUUUUGUUUGUCGUUUGCAUCAGUUCAGAUCAAACAAAAGGAGCGGGAUAUGAAGAAAGAUUUUAAAGUUAUAAAAGACUUGCUAUCUGAAAGUGGUUUUGGUUGGGAUCCUGAUAGAAUGAUGGUGGUUGCUCCAGAUGAUGUUUGGGCCGGAUUACGGGCACGCAAAAACAAAGACGCCCUCCAAUGGCAAGACAAGUCAUUCCCAUAUUACGAUGAUCUCUUUGCUCUAUAUGAUGGACGUUAUGCUCAAGGAAGGAGUUGUCGUGGCAUGGAUUUAUAUGCGAAGAAAGCAAUACAACCCUCACAGGCUUCUGCAUCAUAUUCGCAGCAACUGCAAGAUCCCGAGGAGAAUUUGCACUCACCUACGCCAGACCUACCUGCUGCGGGUGGAUCAUCCAUGAACUUUGGUCCAGAAGAAGAAAUUGGGAGCACUAAUUGGUUCUCCAGCAAUGAUCCAUUGGACCAAGCGACAACAAACUC